GCGCUCGUGGCGAAAUGGCAGACGCGCUAGUUUCAGGUUCUAGUGUCGAAAGACAUGGAGGUUCGAGUCCUCUCGAGCGCA
This 81-nucleotide transfer RNA is filed under the name Methylacidiphilales bacterium. RNAcentral's name for it is "Candidatus Methylacidiphilales bacterium tRNA-Leu". It matches the Rfam family "tRNA". From Rfam's summary of the family: Transfer RNA (tRNA) molecules are approximately 80 nucleotides in length. Their secondary structure includes four short double-helical elements and three loops (D, anti-codon, and T loops). Lineage: Bacteria; Pseudomonadati; Verrucomicrobiota; Methylacidiphilae; Methylacidiphilales. The record is from RNAcentral.